CCUACGGGGGGCAGCAGUUUCGAAUCAUUCACAAUGGGCGAAAGCCUGAUGGUGCGACGCCGCGUGAGGGAUGAAGGCCUUCGGGUUGUAAACCUCUGUCACUGGGGAAGAAACGCUUCAAGUUAAUAGCUUGAAGCCUGACUUAACCCAGAGAGGAAGCAGUGGCUAACUCUGUGCCAGCAGCCGCGGUAAUACAGAGACUGCAAGCGUUAGCGUAAAGCACUGGGCGUAGGGGGUGCGUAGGCGGUGUGAAAGCCCGGGGCUUAACCUCGGAAUUGCGCCUAAAACUACACGGCUAGAGCAUUGGAGAGGGUAGCGGAAUUCACGGUGUAGCAGUGAAAUGCGUAGAUAUCGUGAGGAACACCAGAGGCGAAGGCGGCUACCUGGACAAUUGCUGACGCUCAGGCACGAAAGCGUGGGGAGCAAAAGGGAUUAGAUACCCUUGUAGUC
This 450-nucleotide ribosomal RNA is filed under the name uncultured bacterium. RNAcentral's name for it is "partial 16S ribosomal RNA". It matches the Rfam family "Bacterial small subunit ribosomal RNA", at positions 338 to 795 of the family's 1533-position model. The record is from RNAcentral.